UUUCUAAGAAUGAACUCGCAUAUUUACAGCAAUAGCAGAACAAGCUUAUAUAUGAAAAAGAUGCAAGACACUUGACAAUGCAACAUUGGACAGCUAAUACCAGUCUAUAUAGAGUUGAAUUAUUCUUAACACCUUCCCUUAAUUCAAAAUUAUUGCAAAGACACAACAUUCAUCAUCUUUCUCAAUUCUUUGAAUCUUUCACUCUUCAAUGGCUUGGUCAAUAUAUCUU
RNAcentral lists this long non-coding RNA (229 nucleotides) under Lathyrus oleraceus (garden pea). Its description in RNAcentral is "Pisum sativum (pea) long non-coding RNA (PSAT_LNC015449)". Lineage: Eukaryota; Viridiplantae; Streptophyta; Magnoliopsida; Fabales; Fabaceae. The record is from RNAcentral.